AUUGAACGCUGGCGGCAUGCCUUACACGUGCAAGUCGAACGGUAACAGGUCUUCGGAUGCUGACGAGUGGCGAACGGGUGAGUAAUACAUCGGAACGUGCCUAGUAGUGGGGGAUAACUACUCGAAAGAGUGGCUAAUACCGCAUGAGAUCUACGGAUGAAAGCAGGGGAUCGCAAGACCUUGUGCUACUAGAGCGGCCGAUGGCAGAUUAGGUAGUUGGUGGGAUAAAAGCUUACCAAGCCGACGAUCUGUAGCUGGUCUGAGAGGACGAUCAGCCAAACGGGGACUGAGACACGGCCGAGACUCCUACGGGAGGCAGCAGUGGGGAAUUUUGGACAAGGGGCGAAAGCCUGAUCCAGCAAUGCCGCGUGCAGGAUGAAGGCCUUCGGGUUGUAAACUGCUUUUGUACGGAACGAAAAGCCCCGGGUUAAUACCCUGGGGUCAUGACGGUACCGUAAGAAUAAGCACCGGCUAACUACGUGCCAGCAGCCGCCGUAA
Molecule: ribosomal RNA, 498 nt
Filed under: uncultured bacterium
Lineage: Bacteria
Description: partial 16S ribosomal RNA
Rfam family: Bacterial small subunit ribosomal RNA
Source: RNAcentral